RNAcentral lists this long non-coding RNA (4413 nucleotides) under Prunus persica (peach). RNAcentral's name for it is "long non-coding RNA (PPER_LNC002973)". Lineage: Eukaryota; Viridiplantae; Streptophyta; Magnoliopsida; Rosales; Rosaceae. The record is from RNAcentral.
UUUUUUUUUUUUUUUUUUUUUUUUUUUUGGGUCUGAAUUGUUUGAGUGCUUUCAGCCUAGUGUCAUUAAGCAACCAACUUCUUCUGUGGGAUGGUGAUUCACGACCCAAUAACCCAUUUUCAGUGGUUCGGCUGAUGCAGCAAGAAAGAAAAUGAUGAAACCAGAAAAGAAAAAAAAAAACCUGGCCGCUGGCUGAUAAUGGGUUCCUAUAAUAACAUGUGAAAAGUUUACAGAGACUGCACAAGUGGGGUGUACGAAUGUUUGGCUUUAUGUGCCAAUUGCCAGAGUGUUUGGUUUUGUAACGAGGAAAGUUUGCAAAUUCAUACACGUUUGUUUGUCUGUUUGUUAGGCAGAAGAAGGUGACAUCACAUUCAUUUGUUGUUGCCUUUGCAUUAUGCAUAAACAGUCAAUCAAUCAGUCAUGUUGCUUAUAAUAUAAUCAUAUCAUCCGGAUCAGAAAACGUCACAGAUUUAUUUUCAAUGUUUUGUUGUUUGUGAAUCAUAUGUGAUCAUAUCGGAGUACCAUGUAGGAAUGAUACUAAUGAUAUGUUUAGUUACUUGAAUAAAUAAAUAAAAGCACGCAAAAAGUUUGUAGAGCAUUUACUCAUGCACUCGAGAUCUUAAGUUCGAUUCCCUUCUUCAUAUCAUUUGUAUCAAAAGAAAAACAUACAUUAAUAUGUUAGUAAACAAAGGAAUUAGAAUAAGUUCGACACAUAUUUCAGGUAAAUAAACAUAUCAUAAAACAAACAAAUUCCAGUUCAAGUAAUUUAACAGUGAUGUUGCAGCUCCUUACAGCUGUUAUAAAUUGAUGCAGAGUUUUUGUAGUUUUUUUUUUUAAAAAUCUUGUGUGGAGUUUUUGCAGGGUUUUUAUUGUUUUCUAUUAGUCAUUUAGUAAGGUUUUUUCUUUUUGGGACUGAGGUGGUUCAUAAAGUGAACGGUCAAUGGACAUCAAGUUGUAAAAUAUGAUUUGUAGAACUUUGUAGAACUAACUGUACUGCUCUUAGAGACAAUUACAAUAUCAAAUAUACGACCUGAAAGGCUGUGCUCAAUGGGGCAGGCUUGGAUUGGAUGAAUAACUUGGCCUAAAUAUGAAAAAAAACUUUCUUGUAACAAGGAUAGGCAUUAUUAAUUUUCGGACCUAGUGGUCAUUAAAUUAGUGGGAAAAAAAAAUUUUAUUCUUUCUCCUUGAGUGUCUAAAACUUUUAUUCUUUUUUCUUUUUUGUUGUGGCUGGUGAGGGUGGGGGUCGUUUUGCUGGGAAGAGGGUGAAGUUGGUGUUGUUUUGCCCAUUAUAAAGAACUUGAAAAUACUAUUUUUCUCAGAAAAUGUAACAACAUGAGCAACGCUACUGAUAAAAGUGAAGUUGCGGGACUACAUCAACUAUUUUGCAAAUACAAUGAUCAAAAUGUGAAUCAGUUACAAAUUAAGGACUAUUGCUCCUAAAAACCCUAAUAGACAAAUAAUGUGUGCCUUCCCAAUCACGAACAUUUCCUCCGGCCAAUGAUUUUCUACUUAUCUUAAAAAUUCUUUGAAGAAAUGCAUAAGUCACGGUAUGAGGCCCAAAAUUCAUAGCCCACAAUGUGCUAGAGGCCUAUUGACCCCACAACUUGCAAGUCGGGUCAUAGGCCAUACAUUUUGUUCCAAGGCUAACCCAAUUCGACUUAUCGAUCGAAACCAAGCAUAUGUUACCACACUAGUUAAUAAGAAAAUGAACCCAUUUUAGUAACUCAAUUUUCUUUAGUCUUUGAUGGUAUUGAGCUUGACAUGAGAAAUUAUUGUAUGGUACUGAAAUAUACAGCUGCUUAAUUCUUGCGGGAUGAGAAUGGAUGUUUGGUCGCAUACUCGUAAAUGUAUGGAAUACUCUCCAACUUAGCCAGCCCAUAAUUAGAGUUGGGCUUGGAUUGAUGGUUUGAGUUGGGGCAAGACUUAUUAGCCGAAUUGCACCCAGUCAGGAGACUCAGAGUCAGGUGAUAGAAUAUUAACCAGUCCUGGUAGGAGGAGCGCAGCGAAUCCCAAGUCCCGACCCAAUGGCGUUGCGGAGCCUGACGCUGCCUCUGCCUUUCCCCGCCGUAAUUCCACCAUUACCACCACCUUCUUCUUCUUCUUCGUCGUCGUCAUCUUCUUCUUGUUUGUGUAGUUUUAGACCAUACCAGUAUAAACCCAAUCCCGGUUGCUCUAUCGCUCUCCGCGCAAAACCCAUCAGCUUUCUCAACCGUCGGAGGCAAAGCCAUGUCGUUCGGAUGGCUCCCGAGGAAGAAAAGUUGACCCGUCGCUCCCCUCUCGAUUUUCCCAUUGUAAGUUUUUCUCAGACAUCUAUAUCUCUCUCUGGGUAAUUUUGUCAAACACGUUCUGUGCUUUGUAUGCUUCUAUAAUUUGUUCUAUUGUCUCAGUAUUUGCUUAUAAUGCUCGGAAUUUUGCAUUUUGAAAUCAUUUCACACAAUCUUGUUGGGCUCAGCAGCACGAGGGUUCCUGUUUAUUUGGUAGUUGCUUAAGAAGCUUGCUUGAAUUGGAUGUCGUAAUUAUCAGCAUUAGUAUAUGACUCAAAACAUAAUAUUUCUUUGUUUUUUUCUUUUUCUCUUUUGAUAAAAACAUAAUAUUUCUAAGUUCAUGAUACACAAGGUUUCAAGUUGAAUUAAUGGUGUGGUGUCUUAGGCCAAGGCUUUGAGAGGUUUGUUGCUUCCUCAAUACUCAAGUUAAUGAGAAAUCAACAUUCAAAUGGUUUUAGAGAAAAGUUGUUUAAUUAAGCAAACACUUGUGUACUGGGGUUUAGAAUACAAGGUCCAAAGCUGCAUCUAACCUGAGUUUAUAAUUGACCUGGCACUUGGACUGUGCCGUAGAUUUUAGAUCUUGAUUCUUAACUAGGUCCACUCAGUAAGUUUUGCUUAUCUUGUGUGCAUUGCAGGAAUGGGAACGACCUAAGCCCGGGAGGAGACCGGAUAUAUUUCCCCAGUUUAGCCCAAUGAAAACACCAUUACCGCCUCCACUGCCAGCGGAUCCUCCAGAAGAAGAUGAAGAAGAGGAAGAAAAGAAAGAGGAGGAGGAAGAAGAAGGAGAAGAAGAUCCUGACAAGGAGAACCCAGAAGACCCAGGACAGCAGUAGUUAUGCAACGAACCGGAGGAGUUUGUGGAGCAUAUUUCACUGAUGUGCUGCUGCUUUGUGCAUUUGAAGCUUCCCAAGUUAGGCUGAUAUAUGUGGAUGUGAUACUAUUUGAUAGAACGAAAGAUGGAUAUAUAGAGUUGAAGCUGUUGAAACAACUUUCUUAGAAUAAUACUAAAAUGUGCUUGUUGCCUGAUUACUUAGAUAUAAUGCUGUUUUGAUAAGCAAAUCGAAAUAAUGCUGUUUUGUGCUUUUGCUUUUCUUAAAUAAGAGGGCUAUAGCCGUUCAAUGAGAAGUUGCUGCUUAAAAGUGAUUUAUGGCUUGUUUGGGAGUGAUUCUAGAUAGGCUAAUAAUCACUUUCAUAAGAAUCAUUUUAAAGUGAUUUUAUGAAGAAGCUUAUUCUAAUAAUCGCUUAAAAUCACAAUUAUGGAAAAGCACGAGAGGUGCUUCUUCCCCAUAAAUGAUUUUGGCCCAAAAUUACUUCCAAAACGAUGUGCUUCCACUUUAGUUUUAAACAUUAAUUAGAGCACUUCCACCCUUAACCUUUUGCCAUGGCAAAAGGGGGCCUAAGCUCCAAACAUAACUUGCACACAUUACGUUUUGCCAUGACAAAAAGUGGGCCUUAUGAAACUGGGCAAAUUCAAAGGCAAGACUUGCCUGGCUGUUGCCUGGGCAAGCUAACGUCAUGCCAAUGUCAACGACCACUUUAAACACCAAAAAAAUGGAAAAAAAAGAAGGAAAAAAUUCAGAAUUUUUUCCCUAUAAAUACCCAGCCAUCACUCCCUAUACCAAAAUUCAUACAAAUUCAUCUCCUCAUAUCUCAUGUGAAUAGUGAUUACCCUUGGAUUGCCAUGACAAUGGAUGAGAAUGCAUCAAAAAUUGCUAGGACAAUCACUAUUCAUGUGAAUAAUAUCUGCCCUUACUUCUCCUUGUCCUUUGUCAUUUCACAAUGGGUGGAAGUGCUCUACACAGGAUGGAUCUGGCUUAUUUGCUUAAGGGAGAUGUAAAGACCACUCUAAAAUUUGGAGCGAGAGGAUAUUUAUUUAUUUAUAAAAUAAAAAAUACCAACCUCUCUCGCCUGACACAUGAGACAACAAAUUCAGAGCAAAGAAAGAUAAUGCUGCAAAGAAAGCUUAAGAAAGAAAACGCCGGAAGGCUCAAGAUAGGCAAACUCCAACUAACUUAUUUAGACAUAGUCAUACUGUUACACACUGAAAGUCACUCAUGCGUCUAGCAGCACAUUAGAAACUAGACCAUCACAUAAAUUGAAAGACUUCAACACAAUAGUGUUUAUAAUUACAGCCCAAGAAAAAUAUAUU